This 623-nucleotide ribosomal RNA is filed under the name Sebacina sp. FO 41103. Its description in RNAcentral is "eukaryotic LSU rRNA". It matches the Rfam family "Eukaryotic large subunit ribosomal RNA", at positions 51 to 659 of the family's 3401-position model. Lineage: Eukaryota; Fungi; Basidiomycota; Agaricomycetes; Sebacinales; Sebacinaceae. The record is from RNAcentral.
CGGAGGAAAAGAAACUAACAAGGAUUCCCCUAGUAACGGCGAGUGAAGAGGGAAGAGCUCAAAUUUUGAAUCUGGCGUCUUUGGCGUCCGAAUUGUAAUCUAGAGAAGUGUUUUCCGUGACGGACCGUGCAUAAGUCUCCUGGAAUGGAGUGUCAUAGAGGGUGAGAAUCCCGUAUAUGGCACGGACCCCCGUUGCUCUGUGAUACACUCUCGACGAGUCGAGUUGUUUGGGAAUGCAGCUCUAAAUGGGUGGUAAAUGCCAUCUAAAGCUAAAUAUUGGCGAGAGACCGAUAGCGAACAAGUACCGUGAGGGAAAGAUGAAAAGCACUUUGGAAAGAGAGUGAAACAGUACGUGAAAUUGUUGAAAGGGAAACGCUUGAAGUCAGUCGCGCCGUUCGGGAUUCAGCCUUGCUUCUGCUCGGUUUACUUCCCGUUGGGUGGGUCAACAUCAGUUUCGGUCGGAGGAGAAAGACUUGGGGAAGGUGGCAGCAUUCGUGCUGUGUUAUAGCCCCUUGUUGUAUACUUCGACUGGGACUGAGGACCGCAGCACGCCUCUGGCCGGGGUUCGCCCACGUACGUGCUUAGGAUGUUGGCAUAAUGGCUUUAAGCGACCCGUCUUGAAA